This 465-nucleotide ribosomal RNA is filed under the name uncultured Klebsiella sp. RNAcentral describes it as "bacterial SSU rRNA". It matches the Rfam family "Bacterial small subunit ribosomal RNA", at positions 338 to 795 of the family's 1533-position model. The record is from RNAcentral. Lineage: Bacteria; Pseudomonadati; Pseudomonadota; Gammaproteobacteria; Enterobacterales; Enterobacteriaceae.
CCUACGGGAGGCAGCAGUGGGGAAUAUUGCACAAUGGGCGCAAGCCUGAUGCAGCCAUGCCGCGUGUGUGAAGAAGGCCUUCGGGUUGUAAAGCACUUUCAGCGGGGAGGAAGGCGGUGAGGUUAAUAACCUCAUCGAUUGACGUUGCCCGCAGAAGAAGCACCGGCUAACUCCGUGCCAGCAGCCGCGGUAAUACGGAGGGUGCAAGCGUUAAUCGGAAUUACUGGGCGUAAAGCGCACGCAGGCGGUCUGUCAAGUCGGAUGUGAAAUCCCCGGGCUCAACCUGGGAACUGCAUUCGAAACUGGCAGGCUAGAGUCUUGUAGAGGGGGGUAGAAUUCCAGGUGUAGCGGUGAAAUGCGUAGAGAUCUGGAGGAAUACCGGUGGCGAAGGCGGCCCCCUGGACAAAGACUGACGCUCAGGUGCGAAAGCGUGGGGAGCAAACAGGAUUAGAUACCCUAGUAGUC